This 73-nucleotide transfer RNA is filed under the name Thermosporothrix hazakensis. RNAcentral's name for it is "tRNA-Gly". It matches the Rfam family "tRNA". Rfam says of the family: Transfer RNA (tRNA) molecules are approximately 80 nucleotides in length. Their secondary structure includes four short double-helical elements and three loops (D, anti-codon, and T loops). Further hydrogen bonds mediate the characteristic L-shaped molecular structure. tRNAs have two regions of fundamental functional importance: the anti-codon, which is responsible for specific mRNA codon recognition, and the 3' end, to which the tRNAs corresponding amino acid is attached (by aminoacyl-tRNA synthetases). tRNAs cope with the degeneracy of the genetic code in two manners: having more than one tRNA (with a specific anti-codon) for a particular amino acid; and 'wobble' base-pairing, i.e. permitting non-standard base-pairing at the 3rd anti-codon position. Lineage: Bacteria; Bacillati; Chloroflexota; Ktedonobacteria; Ktedonobacterales; Thermosporotrichaceae. The record is from RNAcentral. RNAcentral also lists the same sequence under 1 other name.
GCGGGAGUGGCUCAGUGGUAGAGCGCUUCCUUGCCAAGGAAGAUGUCGCGGGUUCGAAUCCCGUCUCCCGCUC